Long non-coding RNA from Hibiscus syriacus, 306 nucleotides. RefSeq lists it as uncharacterized. The transcript has 2 exons. Lineage: Eukaryota; Viridiplantae; Streptophyta; Magnoliopsida; Malvales; Malvaceae. The record is from RefSeq and is a predicted model, not a curated record.
AAUACUCAUUUCAAUUAUUCAAGGUUGUGAGCUUGACUUUCUAUAUCCAAGCAAAGGAAUACAUCGGCAAUGGGAGAGCGGUUUUAGAAUAACAUCCAUGGCUGCAACCGGAGAUCAAGCUGCCUUCGUUCUUCGCAUUCCAAAACGAAAAAUGACAGAUGAAACUCUUCGUACAUCUGCCUUUCCGAGCACCCUUGUAAAGGAAAAAUGGGCAAAAAAUCUGUACAUUGCAGCAAUUUGUUACGGAAGAACAGUCUGCUAAUUCUGGACUGUAAAAUUAUUAAAUGCUCCUUGAAGGAAAAAAAA